GAAUGCUGACAUAAGUAACGAUAAAGCGGGUGAAAAGCCCGCUCGCCGGAAGACCAAGGGUUCCUGUCCAACGUUAAUCGGGGCAGGGUGAGUCGACCCCUAAGGCGAGGCCGAAAGGCGUAGUCGAUGGGAAACAGGUUAAUAUUCCUGUACUUGGUGUUACUGCGAAGGGGGGACGGAGAAGGCUAUGUUAGCCGGGCGACGGUUGUCCCGGUUUAAGCAUGUAGGCUGGUUGUCCAGGCAAAUCCGGAUAAUCAAGGCUGAGGUGUGAUGACGAG
Molecule: ribosomal RNA, 278 nt
Filed under: Klebsiella pneumoniae
Lineage: Bacteria; Pseudomonadati; Pseudomonadota; Gammaproteobacteria; Enterobacterales; Enterobacteriaceae
Description: partial 23S ribosomal RNA
Rfam family: Bacterial large subunit ribosomal RNA
Source: RNAcentral